Molecule: long non-coding RNA, 2374 nt
Organism: Oncorhynchus nerka (sockeye salmon)
Lineage: Eukaryota; Metazoa; Chordata; Actinopteri; Salmoniformes; Salmonidae
Exons: 2
Source: RefSeq, a predicted model, not a curated record
GGUAGAGCUGGACAUGUUGAACUGGAUCACGUUUUAAUACGAUUAAAAGACUCAUUUUACAGUGGGUCCGCCAUGGUUCUGUGUAGCUAAGUUAUGCUGAUAUUUCCAGUUAAUUUUGUCUUUGACGUAGUAAGUAAAACAUGGAAACAACAACGAUCGAGUCACAGACAGUUCGCAGUAGAACUUAAACAGAGAAGGGCAUCGUUUACUACUUAAAUUAUUGGGAUCAUCUGGUUACCGCCAGUGUUUGGAAUAUGACGAGCUCGUUGACAAAACAGACCAUGAGACGCCUUUUUUACACCGAUAUUUAUUUGUUAAAGGUCCGCGGUGGUUCGGUGUAAACUAUGCGAUUAAUUUGGAAGAACGUUUAUUGCAGUGAAUGUAAUCUAUUAAUGUACUUUUAUAGUAUUUCUAAGUAGCAGCCAUACAACAGCCAGGGAAACGUAUUGUACUCUCUAACAUUCCAAUUUUUCUGCCUGACUGGCGCUCUUUAUCUGAAUUUAUCCAUGAUUUCCAGGUAAUCACAACAAAACGACUUAUUUUGCUCAAAUAGAGAUAAUUAAAUGGUGUUUUCUUUGAAAAGAUUAGUCAGGCCAGAAUACAACAUUCUGUUUUCUACAUGAGUUUGGCGCUGUUUAUUGCAAUUUUCUGGAUUGUCUUGUGAUCAGAAUAAAACGUAAAUAUUGAAGACUUAUCUCUUCAGUAGGUCCUAUGAUUGAGUGUAGUCUGGCCCAGGAGUGUGAAGGUGAACGGAAACUGGAGCAACGAACCGCCCUUGCUGUCUCUGCCUGGCCGGUUCCCCUCUCUCCACUGGGAUUCUCUGCCUCUAACCCGAUUACAGGGGCUGAGUCACUGGCUUACUGGUGCUCUUCCAUGCCGUCCCUAAGACGGGUGCAUCACUUGAGUGAUCUUCCUGUCUGGGUUGGCGCCACCCCCUUGGGUUGUGCCGUGGCGGAGAUCUUUGUGGGCUAUACUCGGCCUUGUCUCAGGAUGGACCUGAGCCCUAGGACCAUGCCCCAGGACUACCUGACAUGACUCCUUGCUGUCCCCAGUCCACCUGGCCAUGCUGCUGUUCCAGUUUCAACUGACCUGAGCCCUAGGACCAUGCCCCAGGACUACCUGACAUGAUGACUCCUUGCUGUCCCCAGUCCACCUGGCCAUGCUGCUGCUCUAGUUUCAACUGUUCUGCCUUAUUAUUAUCGACCAUGCUGGUCAUUUAUGAACAUUUGAACAUCUUGGCCAUGUUCUGUUAUAAUCUCCACCCGGCACAGCCAGAAGAGGACUGGCCACCCCACAUAGCCUGGUUCCUCUCUAGGUUUCUUCCUAGGUUUUGGCCUUUCUAGAGAGUUUUUCCUAGCCACCGUGCUUCUACACCUGCAUUGCUUGCUGUUUGGGGUUUUAGGCUGGGUUUCUGUACAGCACUUUGAGAUAUCAGCUGAUGUACGAAGGGCUAUAUAAAUACAUUUGAUUUGAUUUGAUCACUAUCUGACAUAGCUAGAGGCUAGAGCUGAACUGGCUGUUAGGUAAUUUAGCUACUAGCUAGCUCAUGUAUUAAUCUCAGUGAAGAGGGGAUGAAACAUUAGCUACCAUUACAUGUUAGUUACACUAGCUAAUAGCUCAGCACUGAGAAUAAACACUAGUUUAGUUUUUUUCUUUUAAGUUAACCAGCAGUUACCUUGCCAGCUGCAUCACUGAUGAUGAUCAGUCAACAAAAGAGUGGCCAAUUUCUGCUCUGCUUGCUUUAACAAAACAAAGUGCACAACAUACAGACAGCAGCUGCCUCUGAUCAAUUCUCCUGUGCUGGUCCAGCCACCCUUCCAGAAGCUUUGCCUUUCACACAGCCUGUCCGCCCGCUCUGCACUGUCCUCAUGGUCCUAAAUCCAGACGGCUGAAAACUAAACAGCCUACCCGACCGUUCUGAGGCGUCCGAAUGGUCCAAAAGCACAACCCAGUGUCUCUUCUUGUAUCACAUUGCAAUGAUAAAACUGGGAGAGACAAAAGUGCAAUUUUAGAAUGUGGAGGGGGACAUGAACCCCCCAUCCCCAGUGAAAGUUGCGCCCCCGUUAUAUGAUAUGGUUAUUAUUCUUAUGCUUAAGACAUGCAAAUGUACAGAAAAUAUGAACAUUCCAGAUGUUUUCAUAUACAGUUGGUCUGUUAUGUCACCAAAGACCAUUCUUCUAAAACUACAUGAGAUCCAACUGAAUCAGGAGAACUUGACCUCGUAAGAAUCUGACUUUCUGGGCUAGAGUUAAUGAAACUAAAUCAAUGGGGUAAAAUGUACAAGCAGACCAAUACGAUAGUCACAGAUUCUUAACAAAUGUACUGUGCAUAUAAAAAUAUACAUACUUAAAUGGAAUAAAAAUAUUGGUAGUUA